This 449-nucleotide ribosomal RNA is filed under the name uncultured bacterium. RNAcentral describes it as "partial 16S ribosomal RNA". It matches the Rfam family "Bacterial small subunit ribosomal RNA", at positions 29 to 523 of the family's 1533-position model. The record is from RNAcentral.
AACGAACGCUGGCGGCAGGCCUAAAACAUGCAAGUCGAACGAUCUAGCAAUAGAUAGUGGCGCACGGGUGAGUAACACGUGGGAAUAUCCCUUUCACUACGGAACAACGUCGGGAAACUGACGCUAAUACCGUGUAACGUCUCCGGACCAAAGAUUUAUCGGUGAAAGAUUAGCCCGCGUCUGAUUAGCUAGUUGGUGAGGUAACGGCUCACCAAGGCAACGAUCAGUAGCUGGUCUGAGAGGAUGAUCAGCCACACUGGAACUGAGACACGGUCCAGACUCCUACGGGAGGCAGCAGUUAGGAAUAUUGGACAAUGGGGGCAACCCUGAUCCAGCCAUGCCGCGUGUGUGACGAAGGCCUUAGGGUUGUAAAGCACUUUCGUCUACGAAGAUAAUGACAGUAGUAGAAGAAGAAGCUCCGGCUAAAUUCGUGCCAGCCGCCGCCGUAA